This 186-nucleotide ribosomal RNA is filed under the name uncultured bacterium. RNAcentral's name for it is "partial 16S ribosomal RNA". It matches the Rfam family "Bacterial small subunit ribosomal RNA", at positions 1314 to 1500 of the family's 1533-position model. The record is from RNAcentral.
GCCUUCAUGAAGCCGGAAUUGCUAGUAAUGGCAGGUCAGCAUACUGCCGUGAAUACGUUCCCGGGCCUUGUACACACCGCCCGUCACACCAUGAGAGUUGGGAAUACCCGAAGCCUGUGAGCUAACAUUAAGAGGCAGCAGUCGAAGGUAGAAUCAAUGAUUGGGGUGAAGUCGUAACAAGGUAAC